AGCGGCGGACGGGUGAGUAACACGUGGGCAACCUGCCUCAUAGAGGGGAAUAGCCUUCCCGAAAGGAAGAUUAAUACCGCAUAACAUUGUUGAAAGGCAUCUUUUAACAAUCAAAGGAGCAAUCCGCUAUGAGAUGGGCCCGCGGCGCAUUAGCUAGUUGGUGAGGUAACGGCUCACCAAGGCGACGAUGCGUAGCCGACCUGAGAGGGUGAUCGGCCACAUUGGAACUGAGACACGGUCCAGACUCCUACGGGAGGCAGCAGUGGGGAAUAUUGCACAAUGGGGGAAACCCUGAUGCAGCAACGCCGCGUGAGUGAUGAAGGUCUUCGGAUUGUAAAGCUCUGUCUUUAGGGACGAUAAUGACGGUAGCCGAGGAGGAAGCCACGGCUAACUACGUGCCAGCAGCCGCGGUAAUACGUAGGUGGCAAGCGUUGUCUGGAAUUACUGGGUGUAAAGGGAGCGCAGGCGGGGGAGCAAGUCAGCUGUGAAAUAUACGGGCUUAACUCGUAGACUGCAGUUGAAACUGUUCUUCUUGAGUGAAGUAGAGGUAGGCGGAAUUCCGAGUGUAGCGGUGAAAUGCGUAGAGAUUCGGAGGAACACCAGUGGCGAAGGCGGCCUACUGGGCUUUAACUGACGCUGAGGCUCGAAAGUGUGGGGAGCAAACAGGAUUAGAUACCCUGGUAGUCCACACUGUAAACGAUGAUUGCUAGGUGUGGGGGGUCUGACCCCUUCCGUGCCGCAGUUAACGCAAUAAGCAAUCCACCUGGGAAGUACGACCGCAAGGUUGAAACUCAAAGGAAUUGACGGGGGCCCGCACAAGCAGUGGAUUAUGUGGUUUAAUUCGAAGCAACGCGAAGAACCUUACCAGGUCUUGACAUCGAGUGACGAGUUCAGAGAUGAGCUUUUCCUUCGGGACACGAAGACAGGUGGUGCAUGGUUGUCGUCAGCUCGUGUCGUGAGAUGUUGGGUUAAGUCCCGCAACGAGCGCAACCCCUGCCAUUAGUUGCUACGCAAGAGCACUCUAAUGGGACCGCUACCGACAAGGUGGAGGAAGGUGGGGACGACGUCAAAUCAUCAUGCCCCUUAUGACCUGGGCUACACACGUAAUACAAUGGCCGUUAACAGAGGGAAGCAAAGCCGCGAGGUAGAGCAAAACCCUAAAAACGGUCUCAGUUCGGAUUGCAGGCUGCAACUCGCCUGUAUGUAGUCGGAAUCGCUAGUAAUCGCGGAUCAGCAUGCCGCGGUGAAUACGUUCCCGGGCCUUGUACACACCGCCCGUCA
RNAcentral lists this ribosomal RNA (1281 nucleotides) under uncultured bacterium. Its description in RNAcentral is "bacterial SSU rRNA". It matches the Rfam family "Bacterial small subunit ribosomal RNA", at positions 94 to 1399 of the family's 1533-position model. The record is from RNAcentral.